RNAcentral lists this long non-coding RNA (262 nucleotides) under Felis catus (domestic cat). Its description in RNAcentral is "lncRNA (ENSFCAG00000047473.1)". The record is from RNAcentral. Lineage: Eukaryota; Metazoa; Chordata; Mammalia; Carnivora; Felidae.
UAGGUAAAAAUAAAAUAAAUUCUAUAGGUAAAUUUGAUUUUUCACCUCUUGUUUUUCAGGUCAGAGACACUUUCUUGUAUUGAUAUAUGAAAUGGAGUCAUGGAGUCCUACUCAAGCUGGUAACACCUGUCUUUAACCUAAAAAUAUAAAGUUAACCCAACUUUACUUGGGAGUGCAUAAGUGGGAAUUCAGGACCUCAUCGUUGGCCUUUGGAAUGAGAGGCCUGGUAUAUCAGGAGUGGCCCACAGCUACAUUUGUGCUC